GAUGAACGCUGGCGGCGUGCCUAAUACAUGCAAGUCGAGCGCACGGGAGCUAGCUUUCUAGCUCGAAGGAUUGGCGAACGGGUGUGUAUUACAUAAGCAACCUAUCCACAAAAGCUUGGAAUAUCUCUGGAAAACGGGACUAAUUCCGGAUAGAUAUUCUGAAGCCAUCUUCUCGUUAGUAAAGGUUGAAAUUGCUGGUAGUUAUACUUAUGUCCGAUUAGCUAUUGGGUGAGGUAACGGCCAACCAAGACGAUGAUGCGUAGCCGUCCUGAGAGGGUGAAAGGCCACAUCGGGACUGAGACACGGACCAGACUGCUACGGGAGGCAGGAGUAGGGAAUUUUAGGCAAUGGGGGCAACCCGGACCGAGCAACGCCGCGUGAGUGAAGCCGGCCUUCGGGUUGUAAAGCUAUGUUGUAAGGGAAGAACGGUAGAUAGAGAAUAUCUAAGUGACGGUACCUUACCAGAAAGCCACGGCUAACUACGUG
This 486-nucleotide ribosomal RNA is filed under the name uncultured bacterium. RNAcentral describes it as "partial 16S ribosomal RNA". It matches the Rfam family "Bacterial small subunit ribosomal RNA", at positions 28 to 507 of the family's 1533-position model. The record is from RNAcentral.